GUGUUCGCUUCAUGAGCACAUAUACGAAAAUUGGAACAAUACAGAGAAGAUUAGCAAGGUCCCUGCAUAAGGAUGACAUGCAAAUUCAUCAAGCGUUCCAUAAUUUU
This 107-nucleotide small nuclear RNA is filed under the name Salvator merianae (Argentine black and white tegu). Lineage: Eukaryota; Metazoa; Chordata; Lepidosauria; Squamata; Teiidae. The record is from RNAcentral.